RNAcentral lists this unclassified non-coding RNA (300 nucleotides) under Hevea brasiliensis (rubber tree). Lineage: Eukaryota; Viridiplantae; Streptophyta; Magnoliopsida; Malpighiales; Euphorbiaceae. The record is from RNAcentral.
UAUGCAACCUGUGUGCCGGAGAUGGUGUUGCGGACAUAGUUGGGAGACGAUUUGGUCGGCGAAAGCUUCCUUACAACCUGAACAAGUCCUUUGCAGGUAGUAUUGCAAUGGCGGCUGCAGGUUUCUUAGCAUCUAUCGGAUACAUGCAUUACUUGUCUUCGUUUGGAUUCAUGGAGGAAAGUUGGAGCAUGGUUGUAGGCUUCCUGGUUGUAUCUCUUGCUGCGGCAUUUGUUGAGUCACUGCCAAUCAGUUCAGAGUUGGAUGAUAACUUGACUGUACCCUUGACCUCUGUGUUUGUUG